CAGGGUGUGGCGCAGUUGGUAGCGUGCCGCACUUGGAAUGCGGAAGUCGCCGAUUCGAGUCCGGCCGCCCUGACCA
This 76-nucleotide transfer RNA is filed under the name Mesorhizobium sp. SARCC-RB16n. Its description in RNAcentral is "tRNA-Pro". It matches the Rfam family "tRNA". From Rfam's summary of the family: Transfer RNA (tRNA) molecules are approximately 80 nucleotides in length. Lineage: Bacteria; Pseudomonadati; Pseudomonadota; Alphaproteobacteria; Hyphomicrobiales; Phyllobacteriaceae. The record is from RNAcentral.